GGUAUGGGAUGAGCUUGCGUCCGAUUAGCUAGUUGGCGGGGCAACGGCCCACCAAGGCGACGAUCGGUAGCCGGCCUGAGAGGGUGAUCGGCCACAUUGGGACUGAGAUACGGCCCAGACUCCUACGGGAGGCAGCAGUAGGGAAUAUUGCACAAUGGGGGGAACCCUGAUGCAGCAACGCCACGUGUGGGAAGAAGCAUUUCGGUGUGUAAACCACUGUCGUGAGGGAAUAAGGCCUGUUCUAGGACAGGAUUGAAUGUACCUCGAAAGGAAGCACCGGCAAACUUCGUGCCAGCAGCCGCGGUAAUACGAGGGGUGCAAGCGUUGUUCGGAAUCACUGGGCGUAAAGGGAGCGUAGGCGGAGAUUCAAGCGGAUUGUACAAUCCCGGGGCCCAACCCCGGACCUGCAGUCCGAACUGGACAUCUUGGAUAGUUCAGGGGCAGGC
This 446-nucleotide ribosomal RNA is filed under the name uncultured bacterium. Its description in RNAcentral is "bacterial SSU rRNA". It matches the Rfam family "Bacterial small subunit ribosomal RNA", at positions 217 to 662 of the family's 1533-position model. The record is from RNAcentral.